Orussus abietinus is the source of this 788-nucleotide long non-coding RNA. RefSeq lists it as uncharacterized. Lineage: Eukaryota; Metazoa; Arthropoda; Insecta; Hymenoptera; Orussidae. The record is from RefSeq and is a predicted model, not a curated record. The transcript has 2 exons.
GUACUAACAAACAGUAUUCGCAUAAUUGUUAUUUCGUUUGGGUUCUAUGUUUUUUUGACAAUUAAAAAGAUAGUUAUUCAAAAGCUCCACAGAGGGCUACACGAUCGCCCGUUUCGCAACAUUUCGUGUCCGCUUUAGAUCGCUCGUUGCCAUAACCUAUACUUAAAAGUUAAUCUUUUUUUUAUUUAUAAUUAACAUUUUCUGCAACAUUUUUGGAAGUUAUACACAAGCAACAUUCAACGUCAAUACUGGUUAAUCGGAUCAACCGCUCAGAGUUCGUAGAUACGAAGUGUAUAAAGUUGAGAGCAAAGAGUCUUUGGUUGAGUGUAGUAGAGCUUUGAUAUCACUAGUGGUCAACAGAGCUGAACAGAUCAGUGUCGGGCAGUGACCUACCCACACAGCUAUUCGAACGUCGUACCCGUUUGAAAGAAGAAGCAGGGAUGGAUUUUAUAAGGCGUAAUAGAUUCUUGAUUGUAAUGGUACCUUACCUCGGAUUUAUUCACUGGGCUUGGUACAAGAUGCAAGGAAAUGAAAAAUUUGUGUCCAAGGCUGACAAAGAGAGAGUUGCUUCCACUCCAGUGUAUAAAGUUUUGGACAAAGUCUUUGGUAAAUGGUCAUGAUAUUGUAUGUGGUAGAAAGUGAUCAAAGCAAUGAAAUGAAUGUUUUUGUAAGUUAGUUAAUUGUCAAUUUAUUUGGAUUGUGGAGUUAAUACAUUACAUUGUGAAUGUAUUGAAUUUUGCUGAACUAUAUAAAAAUAAAGUUCAAUGUGGUUGGUCUGAUUGCAUAUA